This 250-nucleotide ribosomal RNA is filed under the name uncultured prokaryote. RNAcentral describes it as "partial 16S ribosomal RNA". It matches the Rfam family "Bacterial small subunit ribosomal RNA", at positions 524 to 773 of the family's 1533-position model. The record is from RNAcentral.
UACGUAGGGGGCGAGCGUUGUCCGGAAUGAUUGGGCGUAAAGGGCGCGUAGGCGGCCCGGUAAGUCUGGAGUGAAAGUCCUGCUUUUAAGGUGGGAAUUGCUUUGGAUACUGUCGGGCUUGAGUGCAGGAGAGGUAAGUGGAAUUCCCAGUGUAGCGGUGAAAUGCGUAGAGAUUGGGAGGAACACCAGUGGCGAAGGCGACUUACUGGACUGUAACUGACGCUGAGGCGCGAAAGUGUGGGGAGCAAAC